RNAcentral lists this transfer RNA (74 nucleotides) under Prevotella sp. RNAcentral describes it as "tRNA-Arg". It matches the Rfam family "tRNA". Rfam says of the family: Transfer RNA (tRNA) molecules are approximately 80 nucleotides in length. Lineage: Bacteria; Pseudomonadati; Bacteroidota; Bacteroidia; Bacteroidales; Prevotellaceae. The record is from RNAcentral. RNAcentral also lists the same sequence under 1 other name.
GGCCUCGUAGCUCAACUGAAUAGAGUAGCUGACUACGGAUCAGCAGGUUUAGGGUUUGAAUCCCUACGAGGUCA